GCCCCGGUAUCCCAACCGGUAGAGGAGGCCGCCUUAAAAGCGGUUCAGUCUGGGUUCGAACCCCAGCCGGGGCA
RNAcentral lists this transfer RNA (74 nucleotides) under metagenome. RNAcentral describes it as "tRNA-Leu". It matches the Rfam family "tRNA". From Rfam's summary of the family: Transfer RNA (tRNA) molecules are approximately 80 nucleotides in length. Their secondary structure includes four short double-helical elements and three loops (D, anti-codon, and T loops). The record is from RNAcentral.